Long non-coding RNA from Brienomyrus brachyistius, 240 nucleotides. RefSeq lists it as uncharacterized. Lineage: Eukaryota; Metazoa; Chordata; Actinopteri; Osteoglossiformes; Mormyridae. The record is from RefSeq and is a predicted model, not a curated record. The transcript has 3 exons.
UUUGGAAAGAAAGCUGCCCGUAUUGAUGUACGGAAAUACGCCAUUAGCCCCGCAUGUCCGUAUACACCGUCAAUCUCCCGCCGCUCGGCGUGGGAACCCCCAAAUUAUACCGCCGUCUUACCCAUCCGUGACACUUUUCUACGACGGAAACCGAUCCGCGGACAUCGAAAGGAUGGAAUUGUUAUGCUGUAAACGAUUACCUUCACGUUUCAACAAAGUGUUGAUACGGCAAAAGAGGAU